Molecule: ribosomal RNA, 134 nt
Filed under: Cladosporium ipereniae
Lineage: Eukaryota; Fungi; Ascomycota; Dothideomycetes; Cladosporiales; Cladosporiaceae
Description: partial 18S ribosomal RNA
Rfam family: Eukaryotic small subunit ribosomal RNA
Source: RNAcentral
GGUGAGGCCUUCGGACUGGCCCAGGGAGGUCGGCAACGACCACCCAGGGCCGGAAAGUUGGUCAAACCCGGUCAUUUAGAGGAAGUAAAAGUCGUAACAAGGUCUCCGUAGGUGAACCUGCGGAGGGAUCAUUA